This 2034-nucleotide ribosomal RNA is filed under the name termite gut metagenome. RNAcentral describes it as "bacterial LSU rRNA". It matches the Rfam family "Bacterial large subunit ribosomal RNA", at positions 324 to 2011 of the family's 2925-position model. The record is from RNAcentral.
UGAAGCUAGGAGAAUGGCUUGGGAAAGCCAGUCACAGAGGGUGAAAGCCCCGUAUCCGAAAGCAGAGAGAAGCCUACCGGCAUCCCGAGUACCUUGGGAAACGUGGGGUCCUGAGGGAAUCAGUGAGGACCACCUCAUAAGGCUAAAUACGAACCAUCGACCGAUAGUGCACAAGUACCGUGAGGGAAAGGUGAAAAGAACCCCUGUUAGGGGAGUGAAAUAGAAUCUGAAACUAUGCGCCUACAAGCGGUCGGAGCCGAUCGCUCACUUAUGUUCGCUUUAAACGAAAGCAAACUCCGCUUUCGUUUAGUUAGGAUUGGAUGUGCGGUGGCACCAAGGUGUCCCCCGCACAACAGCCCCCACCUUUGUGGGCUGCUUCGCAAAAAGCGUGGUUUUUGCUGCGCAGAUCCUGAAUUAAUAUAAGCGAAUGAGUGAGUAAUGAGAUUAAUUCCCAGUUGAACGAAGCCGGGCGUGUACCGGCGUAGUGAAUCCCUUUGGAUGAUUGUGCCGCAGCGAGCGGCGAGCAAGGCAUCCGCUGAGGAAGGGGAAGGUGGAAGGGGAAAAGUAGUUGCCCCUUCCAGAAAAGCGAGCGUAAGCGAGCGAUCGGUGACGGCGUGCCUUUUGCAUAAUGAGCCUGCGAGUUACGGUAUCCAGCGAGGUUAAGCCGAUAGGCGUAGCCGAAGCGAAAGCGAGUCUGAAUAGGGCGAAUUAGUUGGAUGUCGUAGACCCGAAACCAGUCGAUCUAUCCAUGGGCAGGUUGAAGCGGCGGUAAGACGCCGUGGAGGACCGAACCGUUUGAGGUUGAAAACUCUUCGGAUGACCUGUGGAUAGGGGUGAAAGGCUAAUCAAGGCUGGUGAUAGCUGGUACUCCCCGAAAUGUAUUUAGGUACAGCCUCGGGAGUUAAACAUUGGGGGUAGAGCACUAUUAGGGCUAGGGGCCGUACAGGUUACUGAACUCUGAUAAACUCCGAAUACCAAUGUGAAUUUCCCGGGAGUGAGACUGCGGGUGAGAAGAUCCGUAGUCGAGAGGGUAAGAGCCCAGACCGUCAGCUAAGGUCCCAGAAUUCAUGCUAAGUGGUGAAGGAUGUGAAGAUGGAGAAACAGCCAGGAGGUUGGCUUAGAAGCAGCCAUCCUUUAAAGAUAGCGUAACAGCUCACUGGUCUAGCGUCUUUGCGCCGAAGAUAUAACGGGGCUAAGCAUGAUACCGAAGCUACGGAUUUGCGUUUUUUAGAACGUAAGUGGUAGGGGAGCAUUCCACUCAGCGACGAAGGAGUACUGUAAGGUAUGCUGGAGCGUGUGGAAGGGAGAAUGCAGGCAUGAGUAGCGAUAAUACGGGUGAAAAACCCGUACGCCGAAAGUCUAAGGUUUCCACCGGCAGGGUAAUCCGCGGUGGGUUAGUCGGCCCCUAAGACGAGCCCGAAAGGGGUAGUUGAUGGGAAACAGGUCAAUAGUCCGUACCAACGUAUGAUCGUUAAAACGAUGGGGUGACGGAGAAGGUUAGGCGAGCCGGUUAUUGGAUUCCGGUUUAAUGAUGUAGGGAGUGACUUAGGCAAAUCCGGGUCACAUUAAUCCUGAGGUCAGUAUACGAGGGGUGUAAGAACCCCGGAGUCGUUGAUACCCCGCUUCCAAGAAAAACCUCUAAGGAGAGCAUGCGUUGACCGUACCGCAAACCGACACAGGUAGACGGGAUGAGAAUUCUAAGGCGUUUGAGAUAACUCCGGUUAAGGAACUCGGCAAAUUGUCACCGUAACUUCGGGAGAAGGUGAGCCUAUUGUAAGUGAAGGGUGUACACCCGGAGCUGAAGUGGGUCGCAGAUGAGAGGCCCAGGCGACUGUUUAUCAAAAACAUAGCACUCUGCAAACUCGUAAGAGGAAGUAUAGGGUGUGACGCCUGCCCGGUGCUGGAAGGUUAAUAGGAGAUGUGCAAGCAUUGAAUUGAAGCCCCAGUAAACGGCGGCCGUAACUAUAACGGUCCUAAGGUAGCGAAAUUCCUUGUCAGGUAAGUUCUGACCUGCACGAAUGGCGUAACGAUCUG